RNAcentral lists this ribosomal RNA (1202 nucleotides) under metagenome. RNAcentral describes it as "bacterial LSU rRNA". It matches the Rfam family "Bacterial large subunit ribosomal RNA", at positions 1710 to 2925 of the family's 2925-position model. The record is from RNAcentral.
AAACUCGGCAAAAUGACUCCGUAAGUUAGCGAGAAGGAGUGCUUAAGCAAUUAAGCCGCAGUGAAGAGGCCCAAGCGACUGUUUAACUAAAACACAGCUCUCUGCGAAGUCGCAAGACGAAGUAUAGGGGGUGACACCUGCCCGGUGCUGGAAGGUUAAGAGGAUCUGUUAAGAGCGAUCUGAAGCAGUGAUCCGAAGCCCCAGUGAACGGCGGCCGUAACAAUAACGGUCCUAAGGUAGCGAAAUUCCUUGUCAGGUAAGUUCUGACCCGCACGAAAGGUGUAACGAUUUGGGCGCUGUCUCGGCAGCAGACUCGGUGAAAUCUUAGUACCUGUGAAAAUGCAGGUUACCCGCAACUAGACGGAAAGACCCCAUGGAGCUUUACUACAGCCUGAUAUUGAAUUCUGGUCAUACAUGUACAGGAUAGGUGGGAGACAAAGAGACGUGCACGCCAGUGUACGAGGAGUCGACGUUGGGAUACCACUCUUGUGUGACUGGGGUUCUAACCUGGUAUCGAGAACAGGUACGGGGAGAGUGUCAGGUGGGCAGUUUGACUGGGGCGGUCGCCUCCCAAAGAGUAACGGAGGCGCCCAAAGGUACGCUCAGAUUGGAUGGAAACCAAUCGUCGAGUGCAAUUGCAGAAGCGUGCUUGACUGUGAGACAGACAAGUCGAACAGGGACGAAAGUCGGGAAUAGUGAUCCGGCGGUGCCGAAUGGAAGGGCCGUCGCUCAACGGAUAAAAGCUACCCUGGGGAUAACAGGCUGAUCUCGCCCAAGAGUUCACAUCGACGGCGAGGUUUGGCACCUCGAUGUCGGCUCAUCGCAUCCUGGAGCUGGAUUCGGUUCCAAGGGUUGGGCUGUCCGCCCAUUAAAGCGGUACGCGAGCUGGGUUCAGAACGUCGUGAGACAGUUCGGUCCCUAUCUGUUGUGGGCGAAGGAGAUCUGCGGAGAGCUGUCCUCAGUACGAGAGGACCGGGAUGGACCUACCGCUGGUGCACCGGUUGUUCCGCCAGGGGCAUAGCCGGGUAGCUAAGUAGGGAAAGGAUAAGCGCUGAAAGCAUCUAAGCACGAAGCCUACUCCAAGAUGAGAUCUCUCAUUCGCAAGAAGUGAGACCCCUUAAAGACGAUAAGGUAGAUAGGCCAGGGAUGGAAGUGCAGUGAUGUACGGAGUUGACUGGUACUAAUCGGUCGAGGACUUAAUC